Molecule: long non-coding RNA, 3453 nt
Filed under: Diabrotica virgifera virgifera (western corn rootworm)
Lineage: Eukaryota; Metazoa; Arthropoda; Insecta; Coleoptera; Chrysomelidae
Description: uncharacterized LOC126881792
Source: RNAcentral
GCACUCAACCGAAUAUAAUAUUGUCAGCAUAUAUUGUCAGUCAGGCACUGACAAUAUCAGUGACAAUUUUAAAUAUUUGACAUUGCAUCGGGAAUAUGUUGAGUUAUUGAUUAAAUAUUAUUGAAAUAUAGUGUAUUUGAUAAAUAAUUGAUUUAAAACGUGAACUUAAUAAAAAGUUAUUUAUUGUGUAUUAUUUGUGGAAGAUCCAAGCAGAGAAUACAUCAGGAUAAUAAUCUGUGAUCCAAGUAUUUUGUUAGAGAUGUUCAAAAUUGUAAGCGUUCCAUAACAAUAUAUUAUUAAAAAAUCACUUUAACACUUUUCCUCUGUUCUCGAUUGAGUAUUAGUCUUUGUUGUACAAAUAAAUUAUUACAAUCACGGAAUACAUAGUUAGUGAAACAAAUAUCACAUUUAUGAACUGAAUUAAUAAUUUCCAAUUAUAAAAAUAACAGUUAUCCAAGAACAUUCAAAACCCAUCUCUUGAAAUUAAUGAUGACAUUUUCAAGUAGAAUGACAUUCUAGUAAUGUUUAUAUAUCCAUACCAGUGUGAAUUUUACUACGCGUAAUUUGCCGUGUAAAGACAGAAAAAGUAGGGAUACACGUAAAAUAUUUGCGAAUUAUGUACCCAUAGCCUUAAUGGAAAAACAUGAUUCGCCAAAAAUGUAACUUACGUUACUUUGCCAAAAAUGUAUCGAUAUGGUAACGCUGGGCGCUUAAGGAAUUUUUAGGAUCGUUGAAACCAAAAUUUUUAAUUUUUUUAAAAUAUUUAUUUGAGAAUAUUUUCAUCGUCUGGUGUGGUAUCCUAUAAAACAAUUAACGCACAAACCAACGUUGCACUUUUUACACAUCGUUCGUCCAGAUGUUGUACAUCUGUCUCCAGCACAUCGCCUUCUACUGCUCGAUGUAACAAAUGGUCGACGCGAUCAAAACAUGUAAGUUCCGUCUAUGUAGACUAGGUCUUCCUGUAUAUAAGGGACGACUUCCAUAUCUUGCGAGAACUUGGGCCAAUUCUCUCCUAAACGAUAGCAAGGAUAUAUUUUUUUUAUAUAAAUGCCAUGAAUUAUGGACUGCAACAUCCAUGUUACAAUUUGCCAGUACCAUCUUUCACUGCAAAUUGCUACUCGGUAGGUUGAAACACCUUGACCCAUCCAGUCGGUACCCACCAUAUUUUGUUGUUUCAGCAAUAAAGCGAGGCAGACUUACUUGAAUGUGGCCUUUUUCUUCAUGAGAAAACCUUUUUACCGUGCCCAAUGCUGAACCAUCACAACUCGUAGAUGCUAUUGUAAUAACAUAGUUAUCUUUCCAUCGCACCAGUAAAACUAUCGCUUCCGCUAACAAUAAUCCACGACUGAAAAAGAAUAAGAUUGACUCCGUAAGCGCCCACCCCAACCAUAUGGUAACAGCGUACUUUGACUAUUCCUACCGAAUUCGCUACAUUUAAUUGUUGAUAAAAUACAACAAUUUAUAAUAAGUUGGGGUAUAAUAAAUUUAGUUUUUUUUUAAAUAAUAUGCAAAUAUAGUUACAACAAUUUAUGAUAAGUUGGGGUAUAAUAAAUUUAGUUUUUUUUAAAUAUGCAAAUAUAGUUACUAGAAGACUACCAAAAAUUGCUUAUACAAAACGGCCGUCCAUCUUUUUCUAUAAAUUUAAACCACACUGUCAUAAUAUUAGGUCUGGAUCCCGCGUAUGAAAAAAAAAGUUGAUUAAUAGCAAGCUGAAUAUUUGCUAAUUGCUUAAGGGUGUCUAGUCGGUAAACUUUGAUAUAUGGGAACACUGUGUAACAGUGGCAGUUUUAAUUGUGGAACAGGUGAAAAAUUUGGAACGGUCAGACCACGAAAACGGCACAUUUAUUUUGUCCGACAGAACAGACUUAAACUCUUAAUGCAAAAAUCAGACUGCUAUUUAUCACCUGUCAUUUGACAAAUUCUACAUGUUCCACUCAUUAAAACGCCCGUUUGGUGAUAAAUAGCAGUCUGAUUUUUGCAUGUGAGUUUAAUCUCUGUUCGGAGAGGUUAAGUCUGUUUUGUCGGACAAAAUACAUAUGCCGUUUUCGUGGUCUGACCGUUCCAAUUUUUUAACCUGUUCCACAAUUAAAACUUCCCCUGUCCCCAUAUAUCAAAGUUUGUCCAACUAGACAAACUUUCGUCCUUAAGCUAUUAACAAAUUUUUAGCUUGCUAUUAAUCAACUUUUUUUCAUACGCGGGAUCCAGGUAUAUAUGAUUAUCUCUCGGCUGUUGAGAAAAGGCUAAAAAACGAAUCCGUUACGUUUUAUAGAUGCCUGAAGUAUUCCUAGAAACGAUAGUUCUCAAAAUAUGUGGCCAACUAAUUCCAUGGGCAUACCGCAGAAUUUUUAAAAAUCAUGUUUUACCUUACCAUAUGGUAAGGCUGGGCGCUAAUGGGUUAAUAGACUCUGAUGGGCAGGGUAUGUGAUACACAGCAAUGACAAUCUCCUUAUAAACAAUGUGUUCUGGGAAAGGCCAGAUGGAAGGUCUGUAGGACGGCCUAGAAAAAGGUGGAAAGAUGCAAUCAACAAAGAUCUAUAGUGGCACAGGACUGACAAACAUGCAAGGCAAUAGUAAACCCGGCAAAGACGCACGAAGAGUUGUAACGGCAUUGAUGAUGAAGAGUUUCUUCAGAAAGGGAAAAUUUAGCGAGGUGUAAAUUCAAUACAUUAAGAUGGGCAGAUGCAAUAAUGUCAUACACCACUUGUUUUGGAAAGGCCACAUAGGAGAUCUGUGAAGGCCUAGAAAAAAGUUAAAAGAUCGAGAUGAUCUGAAGAAAAUGGGAAAUAGCAAUACUGAAUGCGGCAAAGAUUCAAGAAGAUUUGUAAAGCCAUUGAUGAUGAACAUGUGCUGUUACAUUGUCUGAACGUUAUUCUAGGAUGCAAGUGGUCUAUGCUACUCUGCUGAAUUUUUCAACAUCUUAUGUUAUUUGACCAUCAUAUUAUGCUUUCUCAUGUUCCACAAAUCUUGCCAGUGGAUUAAUGUACUCCAUAUACUUUUCUCAAUAAGGCUCAUAAUUUGAAUUUCAAAGCCUGCUCUUCUUAUAUCUGGACAAUGAUUUGAGCGAUUUUCUUUGAUCAUGGAUCAAGUCAUUCAUGACAUCUUUCUGUAGAAACUUUGGAAUUAGUUCGCUGGAGAGGUAAUAAAGGUUUAUACAAAAAUCUAGUUUUCUUUUUAAACAAAGAAUGUAUUUUCCAAUUUUCCCUGUAAAAAAUUAUAGUAGGCAAUUUAAAUGAAACUAAACGUUAUGAAACAAUUUGUAUCCAUCGUUUAUAUGCACUCAAAAAUCAUACAGCACUGUUACAAAAUGAAUUUCUACAAGAUCAUUAUGUUAAGUAGACAAACAGUUCAUAAAACAUUCUCUGUAGUAAAAAUAUAUCGAAUUGAGGCGCAACCACCCAAAUUGCCGUUUAAUUGUAAGUUGGAAUGAACCUAUGUCAAAUGUCAAUUACAAAA